Molecule: unclassified non-coding RNA, 446 nt
Filed under: Hevea brasiliensis (rubber tree)
Lineage: Eukaryota; Viridiplantae; Streptophyta; Magnoliopsida; Malpighiales; Euphorbiaceae
Source: RNAcentral
GUUUUGUGCCAACAAAGUCAGAUGCUCAAGUGGUUGCUUUCAGAAAGUGGUUAAAGAAAUACUCAGAUGGUCAAAUUAACUGGGGAGAAAUGUUCAGUGGACUUCCCCCAUCUACUCCAAAAGAGCAACUAAUGGACAGGUAUUGGUCACAUGUAGUGAACUGCAGCAGUUGCCGCGUUGCAUACAAGGGUCUCAAUGCACUUGAGGUUGUUCUGCAGGUCGUGUCCAUUGUUUUAAUCGGAAUUGUUGCUGCAACCAAGCAAACUGGGAUGUCUGCAGUUACUAGAACUACACUUGUCUUGAUGGCAGUACUAUGCUUUGCAGCUUCAAGAUGGCUGGCUCACUUCAUUUACAAGAAUUUUCAUUUUCAUGACUACAACCAUGCCCUUCUCUGAAUCAUUGUUUCACAGAGUCCUCAACAUUGGGAACACUUGUAUUACACCCAG